CUCAUGGUCUGUCUACUCGUCUGUGUUUGGAAGCUUAAACUUCAACCCAAGACUCAGAAACAAACAGACGUGGCUGGUCAAACGUCGCCCAGUCAUACGGAUGAAGAGUUCCUCUAUGAGAACAUGGACGUCUUCAGACCUGGACCUUCCUCCGUCUCGGAGCGGGACCGCAGACGGCAGCAGGGGACGGUGGGGAAGCAGGGCCGCGGGUCAGAGCCUGAACACCUCUCCACUCACGCUGAGAAUUACUAUGUUGAAAUGAAGGAAACCUGAUCUCCCUCUAGAUCUCUGACUGAUGCCACGAGGAACGUAUUUAUGAUUAUAUUCAUCUGUUUUGUGACAAAAUGUGCUAAAUAUGUCAGUUUAUCGCAUAUAAUGACACACGUGAGUUUUUAAAUAUUAUGUUUUACAAAUUUAGCGUUAUCUUCAAAUUCUUUUAAAAACACA
This is a long non-coding RNA of Cololabis saira (Pacific saury), 447 nucleotides long. RefSeq lists it as uncharacterized. The record is from RefSeq and is a predicted model, not a curated record. NCBI's taxonomy places the organism in Eukaryota, Metazoa, Chordata, Actinopteri, Beloniformes, Belonidae. The transcript has 3 exons.